Molecule: ribosomal RNA, 515 nt
Filed under: Rhodotorula paludigena
Lineage: Eukaryota; Fungi; Basidiomycota; Microbotryomycetes; Sporidiobolales; Sporidiobolaceae
Description: LSU rRNA
Rfam family: Eukaryotic large subunit ribosomal RNA
Source: RNAcentral
AACUAACAAGGAUUCCCCUAGUAGCGGCGAGCGAAGCGGGAAGAGCUCAAAUUUAUAAUCUGGCACUUUCAGUGUCCGAGUUGUAAUCUCUAGAAGUGUUUUCCGCGUUGGACCGCACACAAGUCUGUUGGAAUACAGCGGCACAGUGGUGACACCCCCGUACACGGUGCGGACGCCCAGCGCUUUGUGAUACACUUUCGAAGAGUCGAGUUGUUUGGGAAUGCAGCUCAAAUUGGGUGGUAAAUUCCAUCUAAAGCUAAAUAUUGGCGAGAGACCGAUAGCGAACAAGUACCGUGAGGGAAAGAUGAAAAGCACUUUGGAAAGAGAGUUAACAGUACGUGAAAUUGUUGGAAGGGAAACGCUUGAAGUCAGACUUGCUUGCCGGAGCUUGCUUCGGUUUGCAGGCCAGCAUCAGUUUUCCGGGGUGGAUAAUGGCGGUUAGAAGGUAGCAGCUUCAGCUGUGUUAUAGCUUUCCGCUGGAUACAUCCUGGGGGACUGAGGAACGCAGCGUGCUU